AAUACGUAGGGUGCGAGCGUUGUCCGGAAUUAUUGGGCGUAAAGGGCUCGUAGGCGGUUUGUCGCGUCGGGAGUGAAAACACACAGCUUAACCGUGAGCUUGCUUCCGAUACGGGCAGACUAGAGGUAUGCAGGGGAGAGCGGAAUUCCUGGUGUAGCGGUGAAAUGCGCAGAUAUCAGGAGGAACACCGGUGGCGAAGGCGGUUCUCUAGGCAUUACCUGACGCUGAGGAGCGAAAGUGUGGGGAGCGAACAGGA
Molecule: ribosomal RNA, 256 nt
Filed under: uncultured prokaryote
Description: partial 16S ribosomal RNA
Rfam family: Bacterial small subunit ribosomal RNA
Source: RNAcentral